RNAcentral lists this ribosomal RNA (495 nucleotides) under uncultured bacterium. RNAcentral's name for it is "partial 16S ribosomal RNA". It matches the Rfam family "Bacterial small subunit ribosomal RNA", at positions 29 to 506 of the family's 1533-position model. The record is from RNAcentral.
AUGCACGCUGGCGGCGUGCCUCAUCCCUGCAAGUCGCGCGCACAGACGAGGAGCUUGCUCCUCUGACGUUAGCGGCGGACGGGUGAGUAACACGUGGAUAACCUACCUAUAAGACUGGGAUAACUUCGGGAAACCGGAGCUAAUACCGGAUAAUAUAUUGAACCGCAUGGUUCAAUAGUGAAAGACGGUUUUGCUGUCACUUAUAGAUGGAUCCGCGCCGCAUUAGCUAGUUGGUAAGGUAACGGCUUACCAAGGCAACGAUGCGUAGCCGACCUGAGAGGGUGAUCGGCCACACUGGAACUGAGACACGGUCCAGACUCCUACGGGAGGCAGCAGUAGGGAAUCUUCCGCAAUGGGCGAAAGCCUGACGGAGCAACGCCGCGUGAGUGAUGAAGGUCUUCGGAUCGUAAAACUCUGUUAUUAGGGAAGAACAAAUGUGUAAGUAACUAUGCACGUCUGGACGGUACCUAAUCAGAAAGCCACGGCUAACUACGU